AGUUCGGAAUCGAUAACCGCUGAAAGCAUCUAAGCGGGAAGCGAGCCCUGAGAUGAGUUUUCCCUGACACUUUAAGUGUCCUAAAGGGUUGUUCAAGACUAGAACGUUGAUAGGCAGGGUGUGUAAGUGCUGCGAGGCGUUGAGCUAACCUGUACUAAUUGCCCGUGAGGCUUAACCAUACAACACCCAAGGGGUUU
Molecule: ribosomal RNA, 197 nt
Filed under: Vibrio chagasii
Lineage: Bacteria; Pseudomonadati; Pseudomonadota; Gammaproteobacteria; Vibrionales; Vibrionaceae
Description: partial 23S ribosomal RNA
Rfam family: Bacterial large subunit ribosomal RNA
Source: RNAcentral